UAUGCUUUUGAUGAGGAACAAGCAUUAACAACCACACCACGAUCCAGCACAAAAUUAAAACUUUAGCAGCAGUGUAUCAGCUGCCAAAAUGCCAAAAAAAAAAAAAAAAAAAAAAAAAAAUCAUGAGAAUAGGAUAUUGAGUUAUCAUACCACCCAGCACAGGAUUUUUACAAAAUGAAAGAAGUUAUGCACCACUGGGCUGAUUGUUUGGGCAAGCGAAGAGGGAGUGCAAGGAAAAUGAGCUUCAGUCUGUAGCUCAGGCACAGGCUAAAUUGCUUGCUCUCAUAAAUUCAGCUAUAUUAAAUCUAACUGCUAACUUAGAUUCAUGCACYGUUAGGCAAGUGCUGCACUGACCCCGUCAGAAGCCAGAACAGCAAAUGCCMCAGGACACAACUGCUCGGACAUUCUUUUUGUGCCAUGAGUUGAGCUGCUGAGAGCAGAGUUUAUUAGAAAAGCAUCCAAACAAAUCCAAGUCUUGUUUAUCUUUCCAGCAUGUUUUUCAGCUUCUGAGGGUAAUCUAACCAAAAGCCAACAUUCAUCUAAAUGCUAGAUGAAAUUAUUAAAUCUCUUAUGUAAGACAGUGUUAGAAAUACACUGCUUCCUUUGAAACCAGAGUGCACCAAAAGACUACCAAGAAAACAGUUUGGCUGUUUUUUUCUGACUUCAACAGUAAAAAAAUAUAUAUGACAUAAGAAUGGGAGUCCAAAACCCUCUGUAAAUCCAGGAUAUUUGUAAAURUGUUUAAGAAUUUGAGGGUCUUGGAUUGAAAUCUUGGGUGCUGCACAUAGUGAUACUAAAGAGCAAGGCAGAAAGGGUGGUGAGCUGAAGCACAUCUUCACUCUGACCACUAUUUUCAGUACAUGUCAUGCUGGCAGGUCAGGACCAGCAGAAGCUCAGCUGACACCUUCAUUGUGCUGUCAGGAAGUGAUGCUGCAGGAAAUCUACAGGAAAUCUCUUUGACACAAAAGGUUCCACUGGGAAUGAAAAUAAGAGGGUUUAGUGCAAAGGGAAAGGCUGGAAUCCAUUGGAAUCUUGGCAUAAAAGUAAUGAAAAACAAAUUUGAAAUGGAGUGAAGCCAAGGCCAGGACUGCAGGUACUAACAAUGCUUCUGCCAUUUCCCAUACUWCUGCCAUAUUAAUGUCUUCCAUCAACACUUCCAUGAUGACAAGUGGAAAAAAAGAUCAACGGAAAGAACUGAAAAGUUUUCCAAAACCCAUAACUCUUUCUGGGAAUAAGAGAAACUUCAUAAUAGCCCUGGAAAAAGAAGUAUAAUUUUCAUGAAGCAUUGAAGGACACAYGGUGAGCAACUAUGAUGACUGAAAUUUAUGAAGUAACUUUUCUUUAUCACCUCAUAAUUCAAAUUGCAAGAUAGCCACAUUAAGUCCUGAAGGUCUUUCUUCUGUUGUGAGGGACAAGGAAUCUGUCGUAUCUUUCUGAUAAAAUGCAAUAUUUAUGCAUUUUCACUUAUUUGAUUUUAACAACACCUGAAAAUAUCAUUAAUUAUUUUCUCUAUGGGCUUAAUAAUGCAUAUGUUUAUUUUUAUUAAUGCUGACCUUUAAGGCAUGMAAUUAAUUACAUUUUUAUAUAGUUCUUUUCCCUGACACAUCUCAGCAACAGAAUGAGUGGGUGUGUUUCUCAUGCAAAGCAACACUAAUCUUCCCAGGAAGAGCUUUUAUUUCACAAUUGUUAAAUGAAUCAUAUUUAAAAGGCUGGUAUAAAAACACAUUAGCUUUUUCAAGGAAUAAUUUUAUCAUAAAUUUGGAAUAACUAUGGUUAAAAAUAAAUGUGCUUUUAUAUUGAAGAAAUAAAAAUCCAAACAAGCAAGAAAUGUAGCUCAAAAGGAUACGUGACAGACUUAAAGACUUAACAUAUAUUAAACAACUUGAUAGCAAGUGUGUACCUGAGAAUACAUAAUGAAACUAGGAAUAUUUAAUUUCUAAAGCCAUGCUUCUGAAUCUCAGCCAUGGUUUUCAGUGUGAGGAGCGCCAGUGUAAAUGUUAUAAUAUCUAACUCUAGUAUCUUCUUAGUUAAAGAUACUAUAGCAUCUUAUCUAUAAAAUAGAAAAAAUUCCUCUCUCUUCAUGUCUUAGGCAUUGUUGAAGGAUGAAAUAAUUCCUGUCAGCCCUGGUAAGAACGUUAGAGGUUGCCUAUGCAUGUGGUAGAGAUAGAUAAGAUCAUCUAAGAAUUUCAGAUAUAUAUAUGUCCUAAAAAUGUCCCUGAUUAUAUUUCACCAUUAAGCYUCAUUUCUGAACAGGCACUGUAGGGAGUGGUGUGAAUCUAUCUGUACUUCUUUCUCCUCAAACAUAAAAGAUUUAACAAAUACAUAUUUAAUGCUUGGCUAAAUKCUUAAAUGAAGCAAUCACUAUUAUACCUAUUUCAUACCGGGGCAUGAAAUGUGCAACUGUUUAGUCACAGGUGAAAUUCAGUUACAGACCUGGGAGCAAAAUCCAGUGUCCUGGUUGUAUUUCCUUUGCUCCAGGUGUAGAAAAUAUUUCUACAGUAAUUUAUAUCCAAUCCAUUCUGAAUUGUCAU
Molecule: long non-coding RNA, 2531 nt
Organism: Malurus melanocephalus (red-backed fairy wren)
Lineage: Eukaryota; Metazoa; Chordata; Aves; Passeriformes; Maluridae
Exons: 3
Source: RefSeq, a predicted model, not a curated record